GACAGAGGUCUCAAGCGUUAGGCGGAAUCACUGGGCUUAAAGCGUGUGUAGGCGGAUCGUUAAGUGCCUUGUGAAAUCCCACGGCUCACCCGUGGAACGGCUGGGUAUACUGGCGGUCUUGGGCCACCUAGGGGCAGAUGGAACAGACGGUGGAGCGGUGAAAUGCGUAGAUAUCGUCUGGAACGCCAAAGGUGAAAACAGUCUGCUGGGGGUGUGCCGACGCUGAGACACGAAAGCCAGGGGAGCGAACGGG
RNAcentral lists this ribosomal RNA (253 nucleotides) under uncultured bacterium. RNAcentral describes it as "partial 16S ribosomal RNA". It matches the Rfam family "Bacterial small subunit ribosomal RNA", at positions 524 to 776 of the family's 1533-position model. The record is from RNAcentral.